UACGGAGGGUGCGAGCGUUGUCCGGAAUCAUUGGGCGUAAAGAGCGUGUAGGCGGCCAUACAGGUCAGCUGUGAAAACUCGAGGCUCAACCUCGAGACGUCGGCGGAAACCAUCUGGCUAGAGUCCGGAAGAGGAGAGUGGAAUUCCUGGUGUAGCGGUGAAAUGCGCAGAUAUCAGGAGGAACACCGACGGCGAAGGCAGCACUCUGGGCCGGUACUGACGCUGAGGAGCGAAAGCAUGGGGAGCGAACAGG
This 253-nucleotide ribosomal RNA is filed under the name uncultured bacterium. Its description in RNAcentral is "partial 16S ribosomal RNA". It matches the Rfam family "Bacterial small subunit ribosomal RNA", at positions 524 to 776 of the family's 1533-position model. The record is from RNAcentral.